AGGUUAAGCACUUAUGGUGUGGAGCCGAAGGGAAACCGAGUCUGAAUAGGGCAACUAGUUGUAUAUUGUAGACCCGAAACCGGGUGACCUAUCCAUGGCCAGGAUGAAGCGGAAGUAAAAUUCCGGGGAGGUCCGAACCACGUUGGUGUUGAAAAACCAUGGGAUGAGCUGUGGAUAGCGGAGAAAUUCCAAUCGAACUCGGAGAUAGCUGGUUCUCCUCGAAAUAGCUUUAGGGCUAGCGUCGGGUAAUUGAGUAGUGGAGGUAGAGCACUGAAUGGGCUAGGGGCUGACAACAGUUACUGAACCCUAUCAAACUCCGAAUGCCAUAUACUUGUACCCCGGCAGUCAGACUACGAAUGAUAAGAUCCGUGGUCAAAAGGGAAACAGCCCAGACCAUCAGCUAAGGUCCCAAAGUGUAAGUUAAGUGGGAAAGGAUGUGGGAUUUCUAAGACAACUAGGAUGUUGGCUUAGAAGCAGCCACUCAUUUAAAGAGUGCGUAAUAGCUCACUAGUCGAGAGAUCCUGCGCCGAAGAUGUAACGGGGCUCAAACUUACCACCGAAGCUAUGGAUGUGUACUAUGUACACGUGGUAGAGGAGCUUUCUGUACAGGUUGAAGUCAUACCGUAAGGAGUGGUGGACAGUACAGAAGUGAGAAUGCUGGCAUAAGUAGCGAAAAACAAGUGAGAAUCUUGUUGACCGAAUAUCUAAGGUUUCCUGGC
RNAcentral lists this ribosomal RNA (719 nucleotides) under Clostridium botulinum D str. 16868. RNAcentral describes it as "bacterial LSU rRNA". It matches the Rfam family "Bacterial large subunit ribosomal RNA", at positions 643 to 1359 of the family's 2925-position model. Lineage: Bacteria; Bacillati; Bacillota; Clostridia; Eubacteriales; Clostridiaceae. The record is from RNAcentral.